This 468-nucleotide ribosomal RNA is filed under the name uncultured bacterium. RNAcentral describes it as "partial 16S ribosomal RNA". It matches the Rfam family "Bacterial small subunit ribosomal RNA", at positions 28 to 507 of the family's 1533-position model. The record is from RNAcentral.
GACGAUCGCUGGCGGCGUGCUUAACACAUGCAAGUCGAACGGAAAGGCCCUGCUUUUGUGGGGUGCUCGAGUGGCGAACGGGUGAGUAACACGUGAGUAACCUGCCCUUGACUUUGGGGUAACUUCAGGAAACUGGGGCUAAUACAGGAUAGGAGCUCCCGCUGCGUGGUGGGGGGUGGAAAGUUUCGGCGGUUGGGGAUGGACUCGCGGCUUAUCAGCUUGUUGGUGGGGUAGUGGCUUACCAAGGCUUUGACGGGUAGCCGGCCUGAGAGGGUGACCGGCCUCAUUGGGCCUGCGAUACGGCCCAGACUCCUACGGGAGACAGCAGUGGGGAAUAUUGCACAAUGGGCCGAAGCCUGAUGCAGCAACGCCGCGUGCGGGAUGACGGCCUUCGGGUUGUAAACCGCUUUCGCCUGUGACGAAGCGUGAGUGACGGUACUGGGUAAAGAAGCACCGGCUAACUACGUG